GACAGAGGGUGCGAGCGUUAAUCGGAAUUACUGGGCGUAAAGGGCGCGUAGGCGGAUAUUUAAGUCGGAUGUGAAAUCCCUGGGCUCAACCUGGGAAUGGCAUUCGAAACUGGAUAACUAGAGUACAGUAGAGGGAAGUGGAAUUUCCGGUGUAGCGGUGAAAUGCGUAGAUAUCGGAAGGAACACCAGAGGCGAAGGCGACUUUCUGGACUGAUACUGACGCUGAGGCGCGAAAGCGUGGGGAGCAAACAGG
Molecule: ribosomal RNA, 253 nt
Filed under: uncultured bacterium
Lineage: Bacteria
Description: partial 16S ribosomal RNA
Rfam family: Bacterial small subunit ribosomal RNA
Source: RNAcentral